Molecule: long non-coding RNA, 1561 nt
Filed under: Phoenix dactylifera (date palm)
Lineage: Eukaryota; Viridiplantae; Streptophyta; Magnoliopsida; Arecales; Arecaceae
Description: long non-coding RNA (PDAC_LNC001132)
Source: RNAcentral
GCCAUGUACAAAAAUAAAGAUUAAAAAAAUAUAAAAAUAAAAUAAGUAUUUUACUAGAGUAUACAUGUAAAUAUUAAUUUUAGUAAAAAUAUUUAUGUAAAAUUCGAUAUUUAGGAAGAUAUUUAUGUAAAAAAUUAUAUUUUAAAAAAAAAGUUCAAGGGCUUUCACUGAAUCUUGGCAGCUCAAUCUGGUUCUCACCAGGUAAGUUACACUUCUGCGUGACUAUGAUGGACCGGGACAAAUCGCCGGUUCAUUGAUUACCUGGUUUGACAUAUCCGGUCCAGUUUUAUAAUCAAUAACCAUGCUUAUAAUCAUGCAAUGCACAUCUUUAUUUUUCGAAGGAAUGAACGACUGUGACUGCAUCAAAUGAUAAAUUUUGUAGUAUCUAUAGUUUAAAAUCAAAGCCAUUUAUACAUUCCUUCGAUCACAUCCAUCCACAUAAAGUACUCAAACAACUCCAAUCAUGUAGCAAGACCAUAAGUGUGUAGAUUGUGAUAAUGCACGUAACAUACUUAAGUAGGAUAAACUUAUGUCGACCAGUAAUUGCUCCUAUGGUGAAUAUUAGGCCAUGCAAAACUAGUGAGAUAAGCAAAGUUAUUGUAUCAGAACUAAAUCGGUGGUUUCUGGACUGGAAGAACGGUGAACCUGUAAUUGGAUUGGAUUGCAUCCAACUAGAUGGAGACCAAUUGGCCCAAUGGGCUUCAGCCCAGGCAGUUGGAACUGUAAUAUCCAGUUUCAGCCCAUGGCCGAAGAAGAGACCGAGACGGGAUCGCAACGCGAUCUCCUGGUCUUCUUCCUCCGGGUAACGGAGGCGAGACUGGACCGAGGAUGCCGCGGCCUCUUGAAUGGCCUCCGAUCCCGCUUAACCACCGCGAGCAUCACGGCGGUGAACGAGCCACGGCCAAUUCGAAGAUCGCCUAUUAAAAAAAAAAAGAAAAAGAAAGAACCCCGAAAGGCUCACCAGGCCGGGACCCCCUCCUAUCACGGUUUCUCUUUCCCCUUCUUCCUUCAGGGUUAGGUUUUCCUGAACCCACGUCGGUGUCGCCGGGGAUGCUACUCGCAGCUUCCCCGGAGCUAGGUAAGCCGCUGAUCAUGUUAUUUUUCCUGCUUUCCUCUUUCCUGUUUCUGAGAUGAAAUAGCGGAGGGACUCCACGGCUCUCGGGCGGGGGCUGCAGUCGAGCCAGAGUCCCAUCCCCUUCUUUCUCUUCGGUGGGGCAAAGGGCCUCGGUGAAGGGAAGAAGGGAGACGGAAAGAAAAGAAGAAAAAGAAGAAAAGAAGAAAGAAGGACCUCACAAAAUAGCUAGCCAGAAGGUAUUAUUUGGGUUCCUUGAUCCUGUAUAAGUAUCCAAGAUCUACCCAGUGAAUAACCAAUGUGGGACUAAACACACACCCGCACAGGUUCUCACAUACUCCCCCCGUUCAAGCCGUGACGUCUUCGUCAGACUAAGAGUUCAAAUUUAUUCAAAUCUAAUCACAAAACUACGAUCGGUCCGUGGUCAGCCCCAAUAGAUCUGUGCUGCAGUAUUUCCUAGUCCACAUAGGUUAUGUGCCGGGUCUGCUN